This is a long non-coding RNA of Carassius carassius (crucian carp), 1825 nucleotides long. RefSeq lists it as uncharacterized. The record is from RefSeq and is a predicted model, not a curated record. The transcript has 2 exons. NCBI's taxonomy places the organism in Eukaryota, Metazoa, Chordata, Actinopteri, Cypriniformes, Cyprinidae.
GUUCAUCUUUACAAUACUUCUAUAAUGCUUUCCCAUCCUUUUUGAACAUUUACUGCUUGUGGUCACUUGUAUUUAUUCACUGCAUUCAUCUUUUUGUGUUCCAUGGAGGAAAAAAGUCAAAUGGGACAUAGAAUUUGGACAUAUUUCUUUCGUAAUCAGGAACAUAGACACAGUCCUUCUGAAACUUAAUGAGUUUAUACUGUUUUACAGUGUUUUCUGUCUUGGAAGAACAUCUCGGUUUAUUUCCAAGUGCUUCCUGAAGAAGAGGAGAUGCACAUCUUUUAUGACUUCAAUCUGGCAUGUGGCUUUGUCUUUACUGCAGUUGCAGUUGCUCGCCCCGAGGCACUGUCAUUUGAAGAUGAGAAAGAGCUGUAAGAUGUGGAAAUGGCCUCUGAAGAUCAAACAACUAUCCCUUUCCCCCGUGUCACAAGGAAAGAGGAAGAAAUGACAUGCUGAGACAUCAGUCUAGUCCAAAAAAACUCAGAGGUGUCAAGAGAGCAGCUCGGUUUGUGGAUGGAAUUGGAAGUUAGAGUGUGAAGGGGGCAGAGAAGGAAAAAGGGAAGGGUGUGAGGUAAAAGAAAGAGACUGUUGACUCAAAUCAGACAGCAACGGAGGCCAAGCCCAGUCAUAUAGCUCGAGGAUUUCUGGACCUGCUGUGCUUGGAGAGGAAAGCACUCCAUCAUCUGCUGCAUUCCAUCCACACACGUCUCAAAUCAGCACUGGACACCAGCUCAGAGUUUAAGCCAGUUAAUAUGUUUUCCAGUUUUGUUCUUUCUGAAGUUAGGAGAAGAAGGUAAACUGGGGGAGGAAAAUAAAUAACCUGUAAAAAGACAAUCUUAUACCCCAAAUCCACAGAAAGAGCACUUAUUGUCCAAUCUGGCCCUGUUACAUGCAUUUUCUACCAAAAAGAAGGGUGUUCUGGGCUUUAAAAAAUUGGCUUAAUUAAAGUCAAAAUACCUGAGCAGCAGUUUGUGAUGUGCAUUCGGUUGACAGACACUCUGUUGCUAUUUGUUGUGCCACAGACAUAGUCCAGCCACUUCAUUUUACCUGUCCAUCAGAAAUUAAAUAAUUUUUUUAUUGGAAAAAGGAUCUAAAUAUUAAAAUAUUCUUCAUAAAAAGACUGAAAAGUUCACUGGAAAGUUAUUUGGGGAACUGAAAAGUUUCUAAGGCAUCGCUGCGAAAACAUAGUACAUACUUAUUUUUCAGGCCAAUUCUGAGAGAGGUUCGGCUGAGCAUCAACUCCAUCACCUGCACCAUUUGAGAAGAAAAGAAAAGUUAAUAUUGGAAAGCGUUUCAAAGUAACCCAUGGAAGCAGUUAAGAAAAGUCAGAUUGACCUUACUGGAAGGAAAAAAUGCUGAAAGAUCAAAGCUGGAAUUGGAUCCUCAAGAGAUGAAAACAGGCACAGAAAGAGAACAGACAGGAAAGGACCAUCUUCAGUUUGCCUCAGCACUAAAUUGAGAGUUUCACAGUAUUCACAACAGAAGGAAAAUUCAUGGAAAGCAGAUGCUCCUAAACAUUCAUGUAUCCACCACUUUUAAAAAUGCAGUUUUCAUUUCCUACUAAAAUAUCUGCCAGUAUACAUGGUCAGGGGCAAACCUACCCAUUAGGCAAAGGUUGGCGACAGCCUUGGACCCCCUAAAGCCAAGGUCCCCCUAAAAUGCUUUUCAUAUAUGAGAUGCGCAUUAAGUGCGGACAUGCUAAUGGUUGCUAUUUACUACAACAGCCAUCUGCAUGUCCGCGUCAAACGUGCUUUGUGUGUAUCCUGCUUGUAGCAAAUAAAAAUAUCAUGCAUUUGAAGCUGUAAUUAAAUAUUGAGCAACGGUG